RNAcentral lists this ribosomal RNA (881 nucleotides) under uncultured organism. RNAcentral's name for it is "bacterial SSU rRNA". It matches the Rfam family "Bacterial small subunit ribosomal RNA", at positions 17 to 905 of the family's 1533-position model. The record is from RNAcentral.
UCCUGGCUCAGGAUGAACGCUAGCGGCGCGCUUAACGCAUGCAAGUCGAGCGAUGAGGCUCCCUUCGGGGAGUACAUCAGCGGCAGACGGGUGAGUAACACGUAGAUAACCUGCCCUCAAGACGGGGACAACCGGUGGAAACAGCGGCUAAUACCCGAUAUGCUCACAGGAUCGGGAGAUCGAGUGAGGAAAGCGCCCCUUCGGGGGAGAGUGUUUGAGGAGGGAUCUGCGGCCCAUCAGCUAGUUGGUGAGGUAACGGCUCACCAAGGCGAAGACGGGUAGGGGGUGUGAGAGCAUGGCCCCCCACAAUGGGACUGAGACACGGCCCAUACUCCUACGGGAGGCAGCAGCGGGGAAUAUUGCGCAAUGGACGGAAGUCAGACGCAGCGACGCCGCGUGGGUGAGGAAGGCCUUCGGGUUGUAAAGCCCUUUUCAGGGGAGCGAGAAAGGACGGUACCCUUGGAAUAAGCGUCGGCUAACUACGUGCCAGCAGCCGCGGUAAGACGUAGGACGCAAGCGUUAUCCGGAUUUACUGGGCGUAAAGCGCCUGUAGGCGGUCAAGUAAGUCGGAUGUGAAAGCCCCGUGCUCAACGCGGGGAAGCCAUUCGAUACUGCGUGACUAGAGAACGGCAGAGGGAAACGGAAUUUCUGGUGUAGCGGUAAAAUGCGCAGAGAUCAGAAAGAACACCGAUGGCGAAGGCAGUUUCCUAGGCCGCAUCUGACGCUGAGAGGCGAAAGCUAGGGGAGCAAACAGGAUUAGAGACCCUGGUAGUCCUAGCUGUAAACGAUGGAUGCUAGGUUGUGGGCCGGAAAGGUCCGUGCCGUAAUUAACGCGAUAAGCAUCCCGCCUGGGGAGUACGGCCGCAAGGCUAAAACUCAAA